AGCGAACGCUGGCGGCAGGCUUAACACAUGCAAGUCGAGCGGGCGUAGCAAUACGUCAGCGGCAGACGGGUGAGUAACGCGUGGGAACAUACCUUUUGGUUCGGAACAACACAGGGAAACUUGUGCUAAUACCGGAUAAGCCCUUACGGGGAAAGAUUUAUCGCCGAAAGAUUGGCCCGCGUCUGAUUAGCUAGUUGGUGAGGUAACGGCUCACCAAGGCGACGAUCAGUAGCUGGCUGAGAGGAUGAUCAGCCACAUUGGGACUGAGACACGGCCCAAACUCCUACGGGAGGCAGCAGUGGGGAAUAUUGGACAAUGGGCGCAAGCCUGAUCCAGCCAUGCCGCGUGAGUGAUGAAGGCCCUAGGGUUGUAAAGCUCUUUUGUGCGGGAAGAUAAUGACGGUACCGCAAGAAUAAGCCCCCGGCUAACUUCGUGCCAGCCGCCGCCGUAAU
RNAcentral lists this ribosomal RNA (452 nucleotides) under uncultured bacterium. RNAcentral's name for it is "bacterial SSU rRNA". It matches the Rfam family "Bacterial small subunit ribosomal RNA", at positions 29 to 524 of the family's 1533-position model. The record is from RNAcentral.